AUUCCUACGGGGCGCAGCAGUGAGGAAUAUUGGUCAAUGGGAGAGAUCCUGAACCAGCCAAGCCGCGUGAGGGAAGACGGCCCUAUGGGUUGUAAACCUCUUUUGUCGGAGAACAAAACCCGGGACGAGUCCCGGACUGCGUGUAUCCGAAGAAAAAGCAUCGGCUAACUCCGUGCCAGCAGCCGCGGUAAUACGGAGGAUGCGAGCGUUAUCCGGAUUUAUUGGGUUUAAAGGUAGCGCAGGCGGCGGGUUAAGUCAGCGGUGAAAUUUCGGGGCCCAACCCCGACGAGCCG
RNAcentral lists this ribosomal RNA (293 nucleotides) under uncultured bacterium. Its description in RNAcentral is "partial 16S ribosomal RNA". It matches the Rfam family "Bacterial small subunit ribosomal RNA", at positions 335 to 626 of the family's 1533-position model. The record is from RNAcentral.